This 87-nucleotide transfer RNA is filed under the name Streptomyces rimosus subsp. rimosus. RNAcentral describes it as "tRNA-Ser(tga)". The record is from RNAcentral. Lineage: Bacteria; Bacillati; Actinomycetota; Actinomycetes; Kitasatosporales; Streptomycetaceae.
GGAGGCAUGGCGCCGCUUCACCGGGCAUGGUCUUGAAAACUGUCGUGGCGGCAACGCCACCGUGGGUUCAAAUCCCACAGCCUCCGC